This 406-nucleotide ribosomal RNA is filed under the name uncultured bacterium. RNAcentral's name for it is "partial 16S ribosomal RNA". It matches the Rfam family "Bacterial small subunit ribosomal RNA", at positions 360 to 773 of the family's 1533-position model. The record is from RNAcentral.
AAUAUUGCGCAAUGGAGGGAACUCUGACGCAGCGACGCCGCGUGAGCGAUGAAGGUCUUCGGAUCNUCAAGCUCUGUCCUUGGGGANGAAGGUCUUCGGACUUGACGGUACCUAAGGAGGAAGCCCCGGCUAACUACGUUCCAGCAGCCGCGGUAAUACGUAGGGGGCAAGCGUUGUCCGGAAUUAUUGGGCGUAAAGGGUGCGUAGGCGGCCUUUUAAGUCAGAUGUGAAAGCCCACGGCUUAACCGUGGGACUGCAUUUGAAACUGGAGGGCUUGAGUAUCGGAGAGGGUAGUGGAAUUCCUAGUGUAGCGGUGAAAUGCGUAGAUAUUAGGAGGAACACCAGUGGCGAAGGCGGCUUUCUGGACUGUAACUGACGCUGAGGCACGAAAGCGUGGGGAGCAAAC